UGGGGAAUAUUGCACAAUGGGCGCAAGCCUGAUGCAGCCAUGCCGCGUGUGUGAAGAAGGCCUCGGGUUGUAAGCACUUUCAGCGAGGAGGGAAGGUGGUGAGCUUAAUACGCUCAUCAAUUGACGUUACUCGCAGAAGAAGCACCGGCUAACUCCGUGCCAGCAGCCGCGGUAAUACGGAGGGUGCAAGCGUUAAUCGGAAUUACUGAGCGUAAAGCGCACGCAGGCGGUUUGUUAAGUCAGAUGUGAAAUCCCCGGGCUCACCUGGGAACUGCAUUUGAAACUGGCAAGCUAGAGUCUCGUAGAGGGGGGUAGAAUUCCAGGUGUAGCGGUGAAAUGCGUAGAGAUCUGGAGGAAUACCGGUAGCGAAGGCGGCCCCCUGGACGAAGACUGACGCUC
Molecule: ribosomal RNA, 399 nt
Filed under: uncultured bacterium
Lineage: Bacteria
Description: partial 16S ribosomal RNA
Rfam family: Bacterial small subunit ribosomal RNA
Source: RNAcentral